Molecule: long non-coding RNA, 457 nt
Organism: Spinacia oleracea (spinach)
Lineage: Eukaryota; Viridiplantae; Streptophyta; Magnoliopsida; Caryophyllales; Amaranthaceae
Exons: 3
Source: RefSeq, a predicted model, not a curated record
AGUAGGUGUCUACAGAUCCCGUGUUCCUUGUUGUUGGGUGUUUUUCUUUUCGGUGAUUUUGUAGUUGUUGAGCCUCUCUUCCUCUCCUCUAUUUCGUCAGUAUGGUAGGGUGGUGCGCCACCACCGCAACCCUUCUCCGUCAAUGUUGGUGUUGAUGAUGUUGUCGUCACUUUUGCUAUUGCUUCCCCUGUUUCUUUGGUUCAGAAUCACAAAGUGAUGGAGAUUAUACUUUCUAAGAAGUAGUACGGAGUUGAAGAAAGUUGGAUGGAGUUAUCAAUUCUCCGAGUUUUUGUUUGUCAAAGUUAAAGAGUGCUAGGCCGAUUGAGGUUUGUGGAGCCUUAAGCUGAAUUCUAAUGGAGCUUGAUUUUACUCAAUGGAUUUAAAUUAUGUGUUAUAUAUUAAGGUUGUAUUCAUUUAGUAUAUGAAUUGUUGUAAGUUUAAUCGGGAGGUGAAAGGU